GGACAUAGCUUAGUGGCAGAGCAUCUGUUUUGAAUGCAGAAGGUCUCCGGUUUGAUUCCUAGCAUCUUCA
Molecule: non-coding RNA, 70 nt
Organism: Podarcis lilfordi (Lilford's wall lizard)
Lineage: Eukaryota; Metazoa; Chordata; Lepidosauria; Squamata; Lacertidae
Source: the annotation of a GenBank genome assembly